This is a long non-coding RNA of Apus apus (common swift), 1753 nucleotides long. RefSeq lists it as uncharacterized. The transcript is spliced from 2 exons. Lineage: Eukaryota; Metazoa; Chordata; Aves; Apodiformes; Apodidae. The record is from RefSeq and is a predicted model, not a curated record.
AACCUGGUGAGGUGAAACUUGGAUCAUGAAGGAUUGUGAGUUGUUGGCCUGUUCAGAGUGCUGAAGGAGCAGGAAUCGGCAGCCUUUCCUGCUGGGCUUCACUUGAAAUUCAGGGUUUCUAACCAUUCCUUUGUUUUUGGGGUCAGUAUGAGAAGCAUGUUGGUAACACUUGUUGGUAUUUCAGUUUUGCCAAGGAAUGCUUGUGGUCAGUCAAGGACUCUUCAUCUUCCUGUGCUGUGCUGGGUGAGGAGCUGCACAACAACCUGAGAGGGAGCAGAGCCAGGACAGCUGACCAAAGGGACCCUCCAUCCCACAGGAUAUCCAGUGGGGGGGAGUUGGCUGAGGGGGAUCACUGCUGGGGAACUAGCUGGGCCCCAGGCAGUGGUUGGGCACCGGGGAAGGGUAGGGUGGUGCUCAGUAAAGCCAGCAGGCAGAAGAGGACUUAGAAGAAGGAUGAGUAUGGAAAACAUCUUCACAAAGAGCUGGAAGACCCCCCACAAGAUUUACCACAGGAUGACCUCCAGCAGCUUCUGAGACACUUCUGCACAGAGGACUGGAAACAGGAGGCAAAGAGAGAAGCUGCCACCCCUCAACAACACAAGGUAACCACCAUCCGGUGGACAGCAAUCACCUCCAGGAUUGGACAUGAGCCUGUCCCUCGCCUGUCCCUCGCCAAGGUUGCCCCUUCUCUGAUACAUGCAGGGGGGAUUGGAAGGUCAGAACCAAACCCUCCUGUACUUGUGAGCCCUCUUAGCACUGAGGGAGCACUUGGUGUCUUUUGACCAAGUGGUGUUUCAAGAGCAAGUGCUCACGAUCCUGGCAAGUCAUUUUCUGUUCAUUCUUGAUCUAUCUCUAUAUAAUAUGUAUUUAUUUCUAAACUGACCCUCUGAAAACCAUGGUAUCAGGUCUGCACUUUCAUUUUCACAAAAGAGAACGGAGAUCUGAUAUUUUGGGUGUCCUGUAACAGUGUUUCAUGGAGGGAGCAUGGCAGUGUUUUAGUGUGUGUAAUACCCCUCCCCCCCACACACACCCACCCCCAAACACCACUGCUUUUCAACAGCUCUUUGCUUCUUUAUUAAUAUGCUCAAAACUAGAGCAGAACAAACCCUCUAGCAGCAGAACUUUUCCCAAGCUUUCCUGGCCUUCUACUGUUAUAAGGCAGUUUGGUUUUUUUAAUUGCCUUGCUUGGUGCUCAGAAUGAGGGCUCUUCCUCAUGAAGGUAAGGAUGCCAAAAGCAGGGAAACAUCCUGGAAGCUCUGGCUUCCUGCAGGCAAAACAACCCUUGGGGCCUUGCUAAUGCUUUGUUUUGGCAGGCAGGAAAAAACCCAAAAGCCACAAGAAGAAGCCAACCCACCAACAAACCAAGUGUUUUGGCAACCGAACCAAAUGUGACCCAUGACAAAAUGUUUCACAACAUCUUGGCUUGAUCACCAGAGUCAGCACAGGGUGAGCUUCAAGGAGGGGGUCUAAGAAAUGCAUUUUUGUUGUGUCACUUGUGCUGCAGAAGUUAUUCUGUGUCACAACAUCAUGCUUGUUUUCCUCUUACUUGGAGUGGUUUUGCUGUGUUAUCCAAGGACUUGGAAUCCUGUGAGAAGUGCCUUUUAACUUGAUCUAUCAGCAUCUUGUUCCCAGGGUGAUAACGCUAAUUGUAUGUAUUGAAAAUAAGUAAAUAAAACCACUAACAAGGCAGAGCUGCAAGGUGUACAAGGGCUGAUUUAACUAAAUAAAGAUGUACAGGUGUUCAAUGUAGAAA